UAAAACACCCAUGAAAGCUGUCCCAGCAUCCAAUGCUGCAGAUAGGACAUAGUUAUACUUCUGCCACCAGCGCUUGCGAUAUCGAAAGACAAAGUAGUUGAAUAUAGUUCCAGUGACAAGCCAGCUUGCGAUGUUGGUGGGAGUUGCAGGUGGCAUUCCGGCAAAACCAUAAGAUAUUACUGGUAUAUUUAUCAAUGCAAUCCAUUUCUUUUCAGGGAACAUUUUGCUCAGUACCCAGAAAGGAACCGGUAAGAAAGCUCCAAUGAGGAACAGCCAUACCAAGUUCCUGUAGAGGCCACCAGGUCCAAAGAGCCUCCUUGGUCCAAUGAGGCCCCAGAUUACAGAAGCAUCAAACGUGACUCGGUACUUAGGACACGUCCAUGGACUACUAGAAUCAAGUACAUCAGUAUCACAGAUAUUUUCAAUGUUCUCCAACAUCCACCACGCAACUGCAAGAUUGAGUGUACCAGCAACAAAGGUCCCCACUAGCUGAGGAAAACACCAAAUCUAUGGUUAAUACUUCACACUACUAAAACAUGAAAUUUCAAUGCCCAAAUGUACAGGUUUCUGCAAUGCCAUACCUGAGCUACAUACAUGCACCGUGGUGGAAUUUUCAUAUAGUGUCCAAGUUUAAGGUCAGCUAAGAAAGAAAGAGCAUGGAUCGUGCUAAUUCGUCCAUAAAUCUUGAAAAGCAGGUUUGCAAUUGGUUUUCCUGGAAGAACAUAUCCAAUCAUGAACUGUGCUAUUAUGUCAUACCCAGGUUGCUGCAAUGUAAACACUACAUUAUGAGAUAAAACAGAAAUACCCUCAACUAAGAUUUGGCUAUCCAUUAAAAGCAAAGUUUCCUAUGUCUAAGAGGGCAGAUAAGAAAAGACACAAUUUUAAAAAAAUUGGCCAUACCUGAUUCGUAGUUGCUUGAAUAACACCAAUAGGAAGGGUAACAAGCCAAGCCAAGGCAAAGGCAAAGAGCAUACCCCACCAUCGCAGCUGCACAGUUUCUUUCCAAACAAA
RNAcentral lists this long non-coding RNA (1011 nucleotides) under Populus trichocarpa (black cottonwood). RNAcentral's name for it is "long non-coding RNA (PTRI_LNC001628)". Lineage: Eukaryota; Viridiplantae; Streptophyta; Magnoliopsida; Malpighiales; Salicaceae. The record is from RNAcentral.